This 882-nucleotide ribosomal RNA is filed under the name Tuber lyonii. Its description in RNAcentral is "eukaryotic LSU rRNA". It matches the Rfam family "Eukaryotic large subunit ribosomal RNA", at positions 69 to 968 of the family's 3401-position model. The record is from RNAcentral. Lineage: Eukaryota; Fungi; Ascomycota; Pezizomycetes; Pezizales; Tuberaceae.
CCGGGAUUGCCUCAGUAACGGCGAGUGAAGCGGCAAAAGCUCAAAUUUGAAAUCUGGCACCUCCGGUGUCUGAGUUGUAAUUUGGAGAGGCAUCUUCCGGAGGGGCCCAGCCUAUGUUCCUUGGAACAGGACAUCACAGAGGGUGAGAAUCCCGUUCAUGGCUGGAUGUAUCCUCCAGUCGGUAGUGCCUUCUACGAGUCGAGUUGUUUGGGAAUGCAGCUCAAAAUGGGUGGUAAAUUUCAUCUAAAGCUAAAUAUUGGCGAGAGACCGAUAGCGCACAAGUAGAGUGAUCGAAAGAUGAAAAGCACUUUGAAAAUAGAGUCAAACAGUACGUGAAAUUGUUGAAAGGGAAGCGCUUGAGACCAGACUCAGCCUUUGGCAAACAAUUGUCCUUCUGGACGGUGCACUUGCCCUUGGCUGGGCCAGCAUCAGUUAGGACGGUGGAAUAAAGGCUCGAGGAAUGUGACUCCACUACGGAGUGUUAUAGCCUUGAGUGUCAUACUACCCGUCUUGACUGUGGACCGCGCCUUGGCUAGGAUGCUGGCAUAAUGGUCUUUAGCGGCCCGUCUUGAAACACGGACCAAGGAGUCUAACAUCUAUGCAAGUGUUUGGGCUGUAGACCCUCACGCGUAAUGAAAGUGAACGGAGGUGGGAACCCUGCAAGGGGUGCACCAUCGACCGAUCCUGAUGUCUUCGGAUGGAUUUGAGUAGGAGCAUAGCUGUUGGGACCCGAAAGAUGGUGAACUAUGCCUGAAUAGGGUGAAGCCAGAGGAAACUCUGGUGGAGGCUCGCAGCGGUUCUGACGUGCAAAUCGAUCGUCAAAUUUGGGUAUAGGGGCGAAAGAGUAAUCGAACCAUCUAGUAGCUGGUUCCUGCCGAAGUU